RNAcentral lists this long non-coding RNA (823 nucleotides) under Manihot esculenta (cassava). RNAcentral describes it as "long non-coding RNA (MESC_LNC012728)". Lineage: Eukaryota; Viridiplantae; Streptophyta; Magnoliopsida; Malpighiales; Euphorbiaceae. The record is from RNAcentral.
UGUUAGUUUGGAUGAUUUAAGUCCGUACUUGCUUAGAUUAUUCUUACAUGAGAACACUUGGGAUAAAACCCAAGUAAAUUGUAUGAUCUAGCGUUAUCUCCAUACGUUUGGGUAGCUAGGAUUGGAUCUCUCUAUUUCUUAAUGCAAUUGACAAUUGUUUUGAUGCCUAAGGCCCAAGGACGUUCCUUGGCAAUUUGUUAAUUAGUAAUUAAUUAGAGGACGUUCCCUAAUUAGUUUAAUCAUAAGGAGAGAUAAUGGUGGUGAGAAGCGUCUUCCAUCUCCAUAACUAAUCUAUUGAAUCAACCCAAAGGAAACUAAGUGUCAAUGAUCAAUCCCAACAACUAAAGUGGAUCCAACUCUUCAACUAGAUCUUUCUCAUUAUUUAUUUCUCUUUUAUUUUGUUAUUUGCUUAUUUUAAUUGCUUUCAGUAGUUUGUUAAUCAAACCAAUCUCAAACCCCCCAUUUUACUUUUACUGCAAUUUAUUUUUAUUCCGUUUUCAGUUUUAUCUCGUUUUAGUUUAUUUUGCUUUCCGUUUAUUUCUCUAUCAGUUUUAUCUCAUUUCAGUUUUAUCUCAUUUCAGUUUAUCUCGUUUUCAGUUUUAUCUCGUUUCAGUUUUAUCUCGUUUCAGUUUAUCUCGUUUUCAGUUUUCUUCUUUUGCAGUUUAUUUUUAUUUCAGUUUAUUUUAUUGGUCUUGAUAAGGAAAAUAGGUAAAUCUUCAAUUCCCUGUGGAUUCGAUCCUUUCACCACUAUCUGCAGUUGUAAAUUGUUGAUAACCAGAAAGGUUAUUUUUGACCGGUUUCGACAACCGCGAGUGGAUAAACA